GAAAUAAAUAUUAAUUUGAACUUCUAAUUCAAAAAUUAUGAAAACUUCAUAUUAUUUCU
This 59-nucleotide transfer RNA is filed under the name Myrmica scabrinodis. Its description in RNAcentral is "transfer RNA-S1". The record is from RNAcentral. Lineage: Eukaryota; Metazoa; Arthropoda; Insecta; Hymenoptera; Formicidae.